UUCCGGUUGAUCCUGCCAGAGGUUACUGCUAUCGGGGUCCGACUAAGCCAUGCGAGUUGAGAGGGGUAAGCCCUCGGCAUAUUGCUCAGUAACACGCGGAUAACCUGCCCUUGGGUUUGGGAUAACCCCGGGAAACUGGGACUAAUACCGGAUAGAUCAAAGAAACUGGAAUGUUCUCUGAUCGAAAGCUCCGGCGCCCAAGGAUGGGUCUGCGGCCUAUCAGGUAGUAGUGGGUGUAACGUACCUACUAGCCUACGACGGGUAAGGGUUGUGAGAGCAAGAGCCCUGAGAUGGAUUCUGAGACAUGAAUCCAGGCCCUACGGGGUGCAGCAGGCGCGAAAACUUUACACUGCGGGAAACCGCGAUAAGGGGACCCCGAGUGCCAGCACCUAGUGCUGGCUGUCCAGCUGUUCAAAUAACAGUUGUUAGCAAGGGCCGGGCAAGACCGGUGCCAGCCGCCGCGGUAACACCGGCGGCCCGAGUGGUAGCCGUUAUUAUUGGGUUUAAAGGGUCCGUAGCCGGCCUAUUAAGUCUCUUGGGAAAUCUGGCGACUCAAUCGUCAGGCGUUCAAGAGAUACUGGUAGGCUUGGGACCGGGAGAGGUGGGAGGUACUCCAGGGGUAGGGGUGAAAUCUCGUAAUCCUUGGGGGACCACCGAUGGCGAAGGCAUCCCACCAGAACGGGUCCGACGGUGAGGGACGAAAGCUGGGGGCACGAACCGGAUUAGAUACCCGGGUAGUCCCAGCCGUAAACGAUGCUCGCUAGGUGUCAGGUGCGGUGCGACCGCAUCUGGUGCCGCAGUGAAAACUUGAAGCGAGUCACCUGGGAAGUACGGUCGCAAGGCUGAAACUUAAAGGAAUUGGCGGGGGAGCACUACAACGGGUGGAGCCUGCGGUUCAAUUGGAUUCAACGCCGGA
RNAcentral lists this ribosomal RNA (916 nucleotides) under uncultured archaeon. Its description in RNAcentral is "bacterial SSU rRNA". It matches the Rfam family "Archaeal small subunit ribosomal RNA", at positions 1 to 922 of the family's 1478-position model. The record is from RNAcentral.